This is a non-coding RNA of Rana temporaria (common frog), 778 nucleotides long. NCBI's taxonomy places the organism in Eukaryota, Metazoa, Chordata, Amphibia, Anura, Ranidae. The record is from the annotation of a RefSeq genome assembly.
UAGUUAAACCCAGUAAGCUCAGCUUUGCAAGUCUAGUAUUAGGCGGUUUAGUCUUUCUGCAUCAUGCUCAGUUUGCACAAACUCUGUCUCCUGAGUAUUCUAAUAACUGGGUCUCAAGCUCAGCACACAGUGACACAGGAUCCCACAGUGACAACAUCACCUGAAAACAAUGUCAGAAUAUCCUGUCACCUAGGAGGGGGUCUGUCUGUCAGUGGUAAUGGUGUGACAUUUUACCAACAAACUGAUGGAAACAAACCCAGGUACCUCAUGUACUACAGCAGUGAAUCCAUCCAAAAGAGAGGAGAUGGGGUUCCAUCCCGUUUUGUAGUAUCAGGUUCUGAAAAUACAGGUUAUUUGAACAUCAAUGGAGUGCAGGUAGAGGAUGAUGCUGUGUAUUAUUGUCUAACAUGGACUGGGAGCCAGUAUCACAGUAUUACAGAAUAUGAGGAAGUACCACAAAUACAAAUAAUUUAAGAAGAGGUGUAUGUAUUGUUUGACAGUUGCCUAUUGAAGAAAAAGUUAGCUCUGCACAAGGGUUUUAGUUUUCUACCCAGUUACCAGGUUACUCUUAGCAUUUGCUUAGUUAAGACCAGAGUACCUGCAUACCUGGGUACACCUCAGACACACUUUUUGGAUAAAUAUAGGGUCAUUGUGUGCCUUGCCCCACCGUUUUAUUCUCACUCAAAAUCUGGAAGAGUAGAGCCCUUUACAUACGAUAGGUUAACCAGAGGACAACGGUCUGAAGGACCGUUGUCUUAGGUUAACCGAUGAAGCUGAC